GAUGAACGCUAGCGGCAGGCCUAAUACAUGCAAGUCGGACGGGAUUCACCAGCUUGCUGGUGAUGAGAGUGGCGCACGGGUGCGUAACGCGUGAGCAACCUGCCCAUAUCAGGGGGAUAGCCCGGAGAAAUCCGGAUUAAGACCGCAUAAUACAGAUUGACUGCAUGGUUAAACUGUUAAAUAUUUAUAGGAUAUGGAUGGGCUCGCGUGACAUUAGCUAGUUGGUAGGGUAACGGCCUACCAAGGCGACGAUGUCUAGGGGCUCUGAGAGGAGAAUCCCCCACACUGGUACUGAGACACGGACCAGACUCCGACGGGAGGCAGCAGUAAGGAAUAUUGGUCAAUGGAGGCAACUCUGAACCAGCCAUGCCGCGUGCAGGAAGACGGCCCUACGGGUUGUAAACUGCUUUUGUACGGGAAUAACCCCCAAUACGGGUAUUGGGCUGAAUGUACCGUAAGAAUAAGGAUCGGCUAACUCCGUGCCAGCCGCCGCCGUAA
This 498-nucleotide ribosomal RNA is filed under the name uncultured bacterium. RNAcentral's name for it is "partial 16S ribosomal RNA". It matches the Rfam family "Bacterial small subunit ribosomal RNA", at positions 28 to 523 of the family's 1533-position model. The record is from RNAcentral.